AAGUCGUAACAAGGUCUCCGUUGGUGAACCAGCGGAGGGAUCAUUACCGAGUUUACAACUCCCAAACCCCUGUGAACAUACCUAUCGUUGCUUCGGCGGGAUCGCCCCGGUGCCAUCGCGGCCCGGACCCAGGCGCCCGCCGGAGGACCCAAACUCUUGAAUUUAUGAAGUAUCUUCUGAGUAAACAAGCAAAUAAAUUAAAACUUUCAACAACGGAUCUCUUGGUUCUG
RNAcentral lists this unclassified non-coding RNA (230 nucleotides) under air metagenome. RNAcentral's name for it is "partial contains small subunit ribosomal RNA, internal transcribed spacer 1, and 5.8S ribosomal RNA". The stretch from base 1 to 46 matches the Rfam family "Eukaryotic small subunit ribosomal RNA", at positions 1786 to 1831 of the family's 1831-position model. The record is from RNAcentral.